AUUAUUUUGAGUGGAAGAGUCACGAGAAAACAAAUCAGAUGAAGCAUAGCUAAAACCAUUUUCAUGCAUCUAUCCCAGAGAUAACACUUAAAGGAUACUUUUGUGAAGAACAGUAAGUCUGUCUAAAUAAAACUGGGAAGCAUCCAUGAUGCUUCAUAAUCUUCAGCAAGUACAGACAAGGCUCAGACAUUUCAGUACUUUUCUUAAAAAAGAAUGUGACUAAGGAGAAUGCAACUCCAUGAGGAAAAAUGUCUCUGCCUCUCAGUUCACUGGGAAUGACUUGAAAAGGCUGCUCUCAGAAACACCAACAGAUUCGAUGGUGCUGACAGCGUGUGACAACUUCUCCAAGUUGAGAUACGGCAGCCACACAAGCAUAAAAGCCCCUGACAGUUAGAGAUACAUUACAUAGUCCUUGUUGGCCUUCAGCCAUGCUUUCUUUUUUUUUCACUGGGUUAUUUUAAGACUACAGGAACCUAUGUUUCCCUCUAAUCAGAUCUCUGUAGCUAGGUACUCUUGAAGUCCCAGGACUUCAGAAGAUAGAAGAGCAAAGGAAACACAGUCAGGGAGCCUCUGACAGACAGACAAUGUAUUGAUGCUGAGAAGACAAUAAAGAUGUGAACAUCCAGGACAUAGAACAGAUGAGACUAAGCAACCAGAGAAAAGCAGGGAGAAAAAAUUCCUAGAAUACUCCUUUUACUGUUCUUUUAUGUAUUUGACAUAGUUGUUAUGAAUCCAAAAGAUCGGGUUCAGAAAAACAGAGCCUGCUCUUUGCAGCACAUUGGAAACUAGCAUGCAGAUUAUUUAGCAGUGAGAAAAGUCAGUAAAAAGGAAACUCAGUGUUUGGAAGGACAUGAAAAGAUCUAGAAAUGUUCCAGUAAGUUCUACAUGCCCUAGUAAGUUUUGUUGCAUUGGCUGUAAUGGAUCAAUUUGCAGCAAAGAAAGAAUUUUUGAUUUGCUUACUGAGCCUCAACUCAUUGCAGUCUGUAUCUGCCCAGUGGAUAGGUGUGACUGUAAACAAGAGACCUGUGACUACUGUUGAUACAGAUGUGCAUUUGAACAAUGAUUUUGAGGCUGAAGUUAAGACAUGAGCAUGCACACUACUUAGGAACAACACAUAAACACACGAAUAUGUGGAUUCCUAAGCAUUCAAGGAAUGACAAAGGCUUAUUAAAUGAUAAAGGCUUAUUAAAGCUGUCUGGAUUGGAAGAAGUUGUAAUGUUAAAUGCAGGCAGCACAUAUGAGUGGUAAUAGUUUAAAGUUUUGUGUGGUUUUCUGUUGACUUACUGUCAUUUGAGUUUAACCCUGCCUGAAUGUGCCGGUGUUGGUACUUGUAUUGUCACUUUAAAUCAAAUUCUUCCAGUUUAUGAAUAUUAAAACAUCCCUACAGGAUGUAAGGAUGUAUUGUGGCUGUCCUCCACAAUAUAAUGCCAUACUUCACACAGGUACAAGACUGGAUCUGGUUGUACUGUAUGUAUGUAUGUGGAUAUGUAUUUCUUUGCUUAAACUUUGAUGACUGCUUGAUGCUUUUUUUGGAAAAUAGAAUAAAUGGUGCA
This is a long non-coding RNA of Pipra filicauda (Wire-tailed manakin), 1553 nucleotides long. RefSeq lists it as uncharacterized. NCBI's taxonomy places the organism in Eukaryota, Metazoa, Chordata, Aves, Passeriformes, Pipridae. The record is from RefSeq and is a predicted model, not a curated record. The transcript is spliced from 3 exons.